RNAcentral lists this ribosomal RNA (606 nucleotides) under uncultured soil bacterium. Its description in RNAcentral is "bacterial SSU rRNA". It matches the Rfam family "Bacterial small subunit ribosomal RNA", at positions 224 to 823 of the family's 1533-position model. The record is from RNAcentral.
GAGGAGCCCGCGGCGGAUUAGCUUGUUGGUGGGGUAACGGCCUACCAAGGCGACGAUCCGUAGCUGGUCUGAGAGGACGAUCAGUCACACUGGGACUGAGACACGGCCCAGACUCCUACGGGAGGCAGCAGUGGGGAAUCUUGCGCAAUGGGCGAAAGCCUGACGCAGCGACGCCGCGUGAGGGAAGAAGGCCUUCGGGUUGUAAACCUCUUUCAGGAGGGACGAAGCCACUCGGGUUAAUAGCCCAGAGGGUGACGGUACCUCCAGAAGAAGCCCCGGCUAACUACGUGCCAGCAGCCGCGGUAAUACGUAGGGGGCAAGCGUUGUCCGGAUUUAUUGGGCGUAAAGAGCGUGUAGGCGGCCAGGUAGGUCCGUUGUGAAAACUCGAGGCUCAACCUCGAGACGUCGAUGGAAACCAUCUGGCUAGAGUCCGGAAGAGGAGAGUGGAAUUCCUGGUGUAGCGGUGAAAUGCGCAGAUAUCAGGAAGAACACCCGUGGCGAAGGCGGCUCUCUGGGACGGUACUGACGCUGAGACGCGAAAGCGUGGGGAGCGAACAGGAUUAGAUACCCUGGUAGUCCACGCCGUAAACGAUGGGUGCUAGGUGU